Molecule: ribosomal RNA, 527 nt
Filed under: Metschnikowia sp. 11-1088
Lineage: Eukaryota; Fungi; Ascomycota; Pichiomycetes; Serinales; Metschnikowiaceae
Description: eukaryotic LSU rRNA
Rfam family: Eukaryotic large subunit ribosomal RNA
Source: RNAcentral
AAAAAGCGGAGGAAAAGAAACCAACAGGGAUUGCCUCAGUAACGGCGAGUGAAGCGGCAAAAGCUCAAAUUUGAAAUCCCCCGGGAAUUGUAAUUUGAAGAGAUUUGGGUCCGGCCGGCGGGGGUUAAGUCCACUGGAAAGUGGCGCCACAGAGGGUGACAGCCCCGUGAACCCCCUCAACGCCUUUAUCCCAGGUCUCCAAGAGUCGAGUUGUUUGGGAAUGCAGCUCUAAGUGGGUGGUAAAUUCCAUCUAAAGCUAAAUACCGGCGAGAGACCGAUAGCGAACAAGUACAGUGAUGGAAAGAUGAAAAGCACUUUGAAAAGAGAGUGAAAAAGUACGUGAAAUUGUUGAAAGGGAAGGGCUUGCAAGCAGACACUUAACUGGGCCAGCAUCGGGGCGGCGGGGAGCAAAACCACUGGGGAAUGUACCUUUCGAGGAUUAUAACCCCGGUCCUUACUCCCUCACCAUCCCGAGGCCUGCAAUCUAAGGAUGCUGGCGUAAUGGUUGCAAGUCGCCCGUCUUGAAA